UGGGGAAUAUUGCACAAUGGGCGCAAGCCUGAUGCAGCCAUGCCGCGUGUGUGAAGAAGGCCUUCGGGUUGUAAAGCACUUUCAGCGAGGAGGAAGGUGGUGAGCUUAAUACGCUCAUCAAUUGACGUUACUCGCAGAAGAAGCACCGGCUAACUCCGUGCCAGCAGCCGCGGUAAUACGGAGGGUGCAAGCGUUAAUCGGAAUUACUGGGCGUAAAGCGCACGCAGGCGGUUUGUUAAGUCAGAUGUGGAAUCCCCGGGCUCAACCUGGGAACUGCAUUUGAAACUGGCAAGCUAGAGUCUCGUAGAGGGGGGUAGAAUUCCAGGUGUAGCGGUGAAAUGCGUAGAGAUCUGGAGGAAUACCGGUGGCGAAGGCGGCCCCCUGGACGAAGACUGACGCUCAGGUGCGAAAGCGUGGGGCAGCAAACAGGAUUAGAUACCCUGGUAGUCCACGCUGUAAACGAUGUCGAUUUUGGAGGUUGUGCCCUUGAGGCGUGGCUUCCGGAGCUAACGCGUUAAAUCGACCGCCU
This 529-nucleotide ribosomal RNA is filed under the name uncultured bacterium. Its description in RNAcentral is "partial 16S ribosomal RNA". It matches the Rfam family "Bacterial small subunit ribosomal RNA", at positions 355 to 874 of the family's 1533-position model. The record is from RNAcentral.